AAGUGGCGGAAUUGGUAGACGCACCAGAUUUAGGUUCUGGCGCCGCAAGGUGUGAGAGUUCAAGUCUCUCCUUCCGCACCA
Molecule: transfer RNA, 81 nt
Filed under: Vibrio parahaemolyticus
Lineage: Bacteria; Pseudomonadati; Pseudomonadota; Gammaproteobacteria; Vibrionales; Vibrionaceae
Also listed under: 1 other name
Description: tRNA-Leu
Rfam family: tRNA
About the family: Transfer RNA (tRNA) molecules are approximately 80 nucleotides in length.
Source: RNAcentral